Molecule: small RNA, 481 nt
Filed under: Pongo abelii (Sumatran orangutan)
Lineage: Eukaryota; Metazoa; Chordata; Mammalia; Primates; Hominidae
Description: processed transcript
Source: RNAcentral
AACCGGACGGCUGGAGAGAGCGAGAAGGGCAGACGGGACGUGCAGCCUCUUCCGCCUGGGGCCCGGAAGGGUGAUGUGGCUGCGGCCUCGCCGGCCUCGCUAUGGUGAACGGAAGAGUCCUUAUGUUGCAGUAUGCUGUAUAGUAAUGGCCUUCAGCAUCCUCUUCAUACAGUAGCUGGGGAAAAUGCCAGAAUUUAAUUGCGAUCAGAUUUCAUUGUGAACAAGGACUUACUACAGAAAAUAAUGGAAAGGAUGUUUAACUCUUUUAUCUCUGAACAUUGAAUGAGAUAAAUUUCCAGAUGCUGUUCUCUAUUUUAAUGUUAUUGGACCAAUGUUCUGUAUAAAUAAUUAAGAUGUAACCAUUUAAUAGUCUGUAACAAUCAACCUCAGUACUGUCACUACAAUAUUACAUUCUGCAAAUGUAUCAGAUACGAAAUUUUAGUGAGGUAUCUCUAAGGCACAUAGUAGAAAACAAAAUUGU